This 455-nucleotide ribosomal RNA is filed under the name uncultured bacterium. RNAcentral's name for it is "bacterial SSU rRNA". It matches the Rfam family "Bacterial small subunit ribosomal RNA", at positions 338 to 795 of the family's 1533-position model. The record is from RNAcentral.
CCUANGGGUGGCAGCAGUGGGGAAUCUUCCGCAAUGGGUGAAAGCCUGACGGAGCGACGCCGCGUGGAUGAUGAAGGUCUUCGGAUUGUAAAAUCCUGUAGAGGGGGAAGAUGGGUGCAGCAAUGCAUUUGACAGUACCCCUAAAGUAAGCUACGGCAAACUCUGUGCCAGCAGCCGCGGUUAUACAGAGGUAGCUAGCGUUGUUCGGAAUGACUGGGUGUAAAGCGCAUGUAGGCGGUUUUGUAAGUUGAAUGUGAAAUCUUCCGGCUUAACCGGAAAACUGCAUUCAAAACUGCAUUACUUGAGUACGGAAGAGGAAAGCGGAAUUUCUGGUGUAGCGGUGAAAUGCGUAGAUAUCAGAAGGAACACCGGUGGCGAAGGCGGCUUUCUGGUCCGUAACUGACGCUGAGAUGCGAAAGCUAGGGGAGCAAACAGGAUUAGAUACCCGUNUANUC